This is a long non-coding RNA of Rana temporaria (common frog), 1223 nucleotides long. RefSeq lists it as uncharacterized. The record is from RefSeq and is a predicted model, not a curated record. Lineage: Eukaryota; Metazoa; Chordata; Amphibia; Anura; Ranidae. The transcript is spliced from 2 exons.
GUAUCGGCGAGUACUUGAAAAAAAGUAUCGGUACUUGUACUCGGUCUUAAAAAAGUGGUAUCGGGACAACCCUAUUUAGAACUCAUGGAGAUAAGUUCUAUAACUACAUGAGGAUGUCGGUGGAGAGUUUUGACGAAUUGGGACUUGUUCGAGGAUGCCUCAUCAGACACAGGACCAACAUGAGACGAUGUAUUAGUGAGGAAGAACGGCUGUUACUUACCUUAAGAUACCUUGCCACUGGAGCAAGUUUUACCUCCCUUCAUCAUCAGUUCCUGGAAAUUUCAGUAUACUAUAGUACAUGACACCUGUAUUGCCAUUUGGGAGGAGCUGCGGACCACAGUAAUGCCGGAACCAACAGCCAGUCUGUGGGAAGAGAUAACGGAGGAAUUGUGGGAAAAGACAAUCUUCCCAAAUUAUAUAUGAUCUUUAGACGGGAAACAUAUCAGGCUAAUCAAGCCACCAAACUCAGGUUCCCGAUAUUUUGAUUACAAAAAAUACUUCUCCAUUGUCCUGGGACUGAGUGGACAUUGGAGCUAAUGGGAGAUUCGAGAAUUUUCAGGAAUUCCAUGAUGGACCAGCGUUUACAGUAUGGAGAGUUUAAUGUACCGCAGUCAAGACCUCUACCUGGUACUGCUGGACCGGAUCUGCCCCCAGUAGUGCUAGGUGAUGAGGCAUUUGCCCUAUCCACUCGCCUCCUCAGGCCCAAUACGAGGCAGUUUCUUACUGCCAAGAAGCAAAUUUUUAACUAUCGUCUGAGCCGUGUACGCGGAAUGGUGGAGUGCGCAUUUGGUAUUUGUACCGCCAAAUGGCGUGUACUGUUGACUGCAGUGCACCUUCAUGUAGAUCACGUGGUCAAUGUGGUUUUGGCAUGCUGUGUUCUUUAUAACUUUCUAAGGGGAAAGGAGAUUGUGCCAAAUGAAUCCCAGUUACCUGUUUGUGAAGAACACAGAGGGAGUGUUACUACCAGUUGCCCAAGAAAUUAUGCGCUACAAGUCCGUGAACAUUUUUGUGAUUAUUUCCUUACUGACGAUGGACAGCUACCGUGGCAGUAUGAUUAUGUUUAGUAUUUUCUUUGCAUAACCUUCUGGUGAAGAUGGAUAGCUACUGUGGCAGUAUGAUUAUGCUUAGCAUGUUCUUUGUUACUCAUUUGCAUCAACCUUCUUGUUAUCACUGUUUAAUUUUUUUUAUGAAAUAAAGUAGUUAACAACUUUUGUCCAAUUAAA